GAUGAACGCUAGCGGCAGGCUUAAUACAUGCAAGUCGAGGGGCAGCACGGUUAGCAAUAACUGGUGGCGACCGGCGCACGGGUGCGUAACACGUAUACAAUCUACCUUAAACAGGGGGAUAGCCUUUCGAAAGAGAGAUUAAUACCCCGUAAUAAAUUGAACGGCAUCGUUUGAUUUUGAAAGCUCCGGCGGUUUGAGAUGAGUAUGCGUCUGAUUAGCUAGUUGGUGAGGUAACGGCUCACCAAGGCGACGAUCAGUAGGGGAUCUGAGAGGACUAACCCCCACACUGGUACUGAGACACGGACCAGACUCCUACGGGAGGCAGCAGUAAGGAAUAUUGGUCAAUAGGAGGCAACUCUGAACCAGCCAUGCGCGUGCAGGAUGAGGCCCUAUGGUGUAAUAGCUUUAUUACAAAGAG
Molecule: ribosomal RNA, 418 nt
Filed under: uncultured bacterium
Lineage: Bacteria
Description: bacterial SSU rRNA
Rfam family: Bacterial small subunit ribosomal RNA
Source: RNAcentral